UGUUUUCCAUUCAAGAAAUAUUUCAAGAAAACUGUGACUUUUCAAAUCUCAAUUAUCGUUUUGUCUUGUUUUGAAACAGAUACAGUAAAUUGUAAACCUUAAAACCAUCACCACAUCUCAAGUGAAACACUAUAGUACUAACUCUUUAUCGAAAGUUCACGGUCUACGCCCAUAUGUAAUUGACCUCUUUGUUUGUGACAUUUUAAGAUAUGAUAGAAAAGCUGAGAAAAACCGGUUUAGGAUAAUAUUUUGUUAAAAUUUCGAUUGUAUUAUCAGGAAAUUAAUACGUAUGCAACAUGUCAGUUUUAAAACGUAAAUGUAGCUCAAAUUCAUUUUCACAUAAAUGUGAUAAAUCAACUGCUAUUAAAAUUUACAGUGCGUAACAUGAUUAUAGUGCUUUGCGUUGUAAGCAAAUUCAAAUAUUCUUUUUUUUUUUUGAGAUCUUUUUCCCUAAUAAGGCAAAGUAUUAUCAACCAGUGUCUCAUAGUCCUGGUUAAAAAUAAAUUUCAAAACAAAUGAGACACAGUAAUAGGUUGCAUAAAAAUAUCAUUUUAGUUUUUUUGGAAGCAGGAAGUUUUAAGCGAAAAGCAAUUACCGCUACAAGAUGAUAGCGCUCAUCCACAACUAGCCUUCCUGUUAUAUCAAACCUCAAUUUCCAAAAUACUAUUUAAAACAUAAGAAACUUUAAAACUAAAUUAAGAGAUCUUUCUACAAUUGCCUGUAGAUAUUGAUUUU
RNAcentral lists this long non-coding RNA (735 nucleotides) under Mytilus galloprovincialis (Mediterranean mussel). Lineage: Eukaryota; Metazoa; Mollusca; Bivalvia; Mytilida; Mytilidae. The record is from RNAcentral.